This 497-nucleotide ribosomal RNA is filed under the name uncultured bacterium. RNAcentral's name for it is "partial 16S ribosomal RNA". It matches the Rfam family "Bacterial small subunit ribosomal RNA", at positions 28 to 507 of the family's 1533-position model. The record is from RNAcentral.
GAUGAACGCUGGCGGCGUGCCUAAUACAUGCAAGUCGAGCGAACAGACGAGGAGCUUGCUCCUCUGACGUUAGCGGCGGACGGGUGAGUAGCACGUGGAUAACCUACCUAUAAGACUGGGAUAACUUCGGGAAACCGGAGCUAAUACCGGAUAAUAUAGUGAACCGCAUGGUUCAAUAGUGAAAGACGGUUUUGCUGUCACUUAUAGAUGGAUCCGCGCCGCAUUAGCUAGUUGGUAAGGUAACGGCUUACCAAGGCAACGAUGCGUAGCCGACCUGAGAGGGUGAUCGGCCACACUGGAACUGAGACACGGUCCAGACUCUUACGGGAGGCAGCAGUAGGGAAUCUUCCGCAAUGGGCGAAAGCCUGACGGAGCAACGCCGCGUGAGUGAUGAAGGUCUUCGGAUCGUAAAACUCUGUUAUUAGGGAAGAACAAAUGUGUAAGUAACUAUGCACGUCUUGACGGUACCUAAUCAGAAAGCCACGGCUAACUACGUG